This 465-nucleotide ribosomal RNA is filed under the name Vreelandella stevensii. RNAcentral describes it as "partial 16S ribosomal RNA". It matches the Rfam family "Bacterial small subunit ribosomal RNA", at positions 338 to 795 of the family's 1533-position model. The record is from RNAcentral. Lineage: Bacteria; Pseudomonadati; Pseudomonadota; Gammaproteobacteria; Oceanospirillales; Halomonadaceae.
CCUACGGGUGGCUGCAGUGGGGAAUAUUGGACAAUGGGCGAAAGCCUGAUCCAGCCAUGCCGCGUGUGUGAAGAAGGCCUUCGGGUUGUAAAGCACUUUCAGUGGGGAAGAAAGCCUUGGGGCUAAUACCCUCGAGGAAGGACAUCACCCACAGAAGAAGCACCGGCUAACUCCGUGCCAGCAGCCGCGGUAAUACGGAGGGAGCGAGCGUUAAUCGGAAUUACUGGGCGUAAAGCGCGCGUAGGCGGUCUGAUAAGCCGGUUGUGAAAGCCCCGGGCUCAACCUGGGAACGGCAUCCGGAACUGUCAGGCUAGAGUGCAGGAGAGGAAGGUAGAAUUCCCGGUGUAGCGGUGAAAUGCGUAGGGAUCGGGAGGAAUACCAGUGGCGAAGGCGGCCUUCUGGACUGACACUGACGCUGAGGUGCGAAAGCGUGGGUAGCAAACAGGAUUAGAUACCCCAGUAGUC